RNAcentral lists this ribosomal RNA (825 nucleotides) under uncultured bacterium. RNAcentral's name for it is "bacterial SSU rRNA". It matches the Rfam family "Bacterial small subunit ribosomal RNA", at positions 70 to 905 of the family's 1533-position model. The record is from RNAcentral.
ACGGAGGAGCUUGCUCCCCCUGAUCAGUGGCGAACGGGUGAGUAACACGUGAGUAACCUGCCCCAGACUCUGGGAUAACAUCGGGAAACCGGUGCUAAUACCGGAUAUGAGACGAGACUGCAUGGUCAUCGUCUGGAAAGAUUUAUCGGUCUGGGAUGGACUCGCGGCCUAUCAGCUAGUUGGUGAGGUAAUGGCUCACCAAGGCGACGACGGGUAGCCGGCCUGAGAGGGCGACCGGCCACACUGGAACUGAGACACGGUCCAGACUCCUACGGGAGGCAGCAGUGGGGAAUAUUGCACAAUGGGCGCAAGCCUGAUGCAGCAACGCCGCGUGGGGGAUGAAGGCCUUCGGGUUGUAAACCCCUUUUAGCAGGGAAGAAGCGAAAGUGACGGUACCUGCAGAAAAAGCGCCGGCUAACUACGUGCCAGCAGCCGCGGUAAUGCGUAGGGCGCAAGCGUUGUCCGGAAUUAUUGGGCGUAAAGAGCUCGUAGGCGGUUUGUCGCGUCUGCUGUGAAAGUCCGAGGCUCAACCUCGGAUCUGCAGUGGGUACGGGCAGACUAGAGUGUGGUAGGGGAGACUGGAAUUCCUGGUGUAGCGGUGGAAUGCGCAGAUAUCAGGAGGAACACCAAUGGCGAAGGCAGGUCUCUGGGCCAUAACUGACGCUGAGGAGCGAAAGCGUGGGGAGCGAACAGGAUUAGAUACCCUGGUAGUCCACGCCGUANACGGUGGGCACUAGAUGUGGGGCUCUUUCNAUGAGUUCCGCGUCGCAGCUAACGCAUUAAGUGCCCCGCCUGGGGAGUACGGCCGCAAGGCUAAAACUCAAA